Peromyscus eremicus (cactus mouse) is the source of this 515-nucleotide long non-coding RNA. RefSeq lists it as uncharacterized. NCBI's taxonomy places the organism in Eukaryota, Metazoa, Chordata, Mammalia, Rodentia, Cricetidae. The record is from RefSeq and is a predicted model, not a curated record. The transcript is spliced from 4 exons.
AUGAUCUCCUGCAGUUAGAUGAAUGAGGACAGCAGACUUGAGCACCUUAAAAAAUGGAACAGCAAGGGGCUGCCAAAAUGUUGAUUUUCAAAGAAGGAAGCUGUAAUUCUGUCACAGUAUUUCAUCAAACUUGAAACACUACAUGCAGAGGAAGAUACCGCCGAGUCUACUGCUUAACCAGUGCAAUGGCUGCUGUGGGUUUCUUACGUGGUUCUACAGUUUAGAGCCAGAAUGCUGCCCUAAAUGAAACAAUCCAAAUAGAAGGCCCCAGGCUUCUGGAGUAUGCAGAAGGUGUCGCAAAGGCCAACAUUGAAUUAAUGAAUGUAGAUCAACAUGAAAUAGGCAAGGAAAAUAAAAGCAUCCAACUAAAGAAUCUAAAGACUACUGGACAAAUGAGACAUCUGGAGAAGAAGGGAGAAUCAUCCAGAGAAAAUGUCCUGAGGAAAAGAGUAACUUGGUUUAAGAGUAUAGUACAUUUUCAACAGGAUAAAAUUUAAUAAAUCUUCCCAAAUGUU